CCCGCUGAACUUAAGCAUAUCAAUAAGCGGAGGAAAAGAAACCAACAGGGAUUGCCUCAGUAACGGCGAGUGAAGCGGCAACAGCUCAAAUUUGAAAUCUGGCGCAAGCCCGAGUUGUAAUUUGGAGAGGAUGCUUCUGGGUAGCGGUCGGCUUAAGUUUCUUGGAACAGAACGUCACAGAGGGUGAGAAUCCCGUAUGUGGUCGAUAGGCACCCUUCACGUAGCUCCUUCGACGAGUCGAGUUGUUUGGGAAUGCAGCUCAAAAUGGGAGGUAAAUUUCUCCUAAGGCUAAAUACCGGCCAGAGACCGAUAGCGCACAAGUAGAGUGAUCGAAAGAUGAAAAGCACUUUGGAAAGAGAGUUAAAAAGCACGUGAAAUUGUUGAAAGGGAAGCGCUUGCUGCCAGACUUAUUAACGGUGUUCCGCCGGUCUUCUGACCGGUCCACUCGCCGUGGAUAGGCCAACAUCAUCUGGUGCCGCCGGAGAAAGGUGUCGGGAAUGUAUCUUCCCCGGGAGUGUUAUAGCCCUUCACACAAUACGGCGUGCGCCGGGUGAGGUCCGCGCUUCGGCUAGGAUGUUGGCGUAAUGGUAGUAAGCGGCCCGUCUUGAAACACGG
This 615-nucleotide ribosomal RNA is filed under the name uncultured fungus. Its description in RNAcentral is "eukaryotic LSU rRNA". It matches the Rfam family "Eukaryotic large subunit ribosomal RNA", at positions 24 to 664 of the family's 3401-position model. The record is from RNAcentral. Lineage: Eukaryota; Fungi.